CGGGGUUCCAGCCCGCCCGCUCGCAGGGAGCGCGCUCAGCCUGAGGCGGGCGGUCAGUGCCUUAGAUGGUACAAACCGCUCCAUAUCCCGCCCCGCCUGCGUUUGUUCCACGCCCUAGCGGCCAGGGGCCGCCCACGGUUUGGCCUCUUUUGCUUUCGAUGGGAAAACACAAAGGACUACAAAACACAGACUUCUCUGUUAUAUGAAGAUUGUGAGAUGAGGGUGUACAUACUGAAGGAGCCAUAACUAGAGGAAGCCCUGCCAGCUGAUUCCUGUGGCUUUCCUCUAUUGUUGGUGUCGCAAUUUCCUGAUGAGGCUCAGUAUACAAAUAGACAUGCAUUGUGAGAUGGACAAUAUCCACUACACAGUGACCAGAAAGGAGAUAAACAUCUGUACCACCUGAUUGAAAGGAACAUUCCUGAGGAGAGAUUGGCUACAGCUCUGCUUCUGAAAUCAGCAGCCCUUUCCCUCAGGCCUGACAGGAAAACUGACAGUGAAUGUUAUAUUCUACUCAUCAUUUUCACCCUGCAGCUCUCUAAGAACUUGAAAGACCUCUGUGCAUACAGGUGGCCUCAGUUAAUUUCUUUUUCAGCUGCUGGUGACUGAGCAGGAGACCCACUGUGUGUGGCUAUCACACAGAAUGGAAUAAUGGAAAUGAAAGUAAGUUGAUGCACUGGACCAUUAAAGUGUGCCAAGUAUGUAUGUAAUACUGAUUUAUUCGCUCCUGUAAACAGUGUAAUAUUUUCUAUGUCUCGUUUCCUAUGCAACACC
Long non-coding RNA from Mauremys reevesii (Reeves's turtle), 771 nucleotides. RefSeq lists it as uncharacterized. The record is from RefSeq and is a predicted model, not a curated record. The transcript has 4 exons. Lineage: Eukaryota; Metazoa; Chordata; Testudines; Geoemydidae.